This 497-nucleotide ribosomal RNA is filed under the name uncultured bacterium. RNAcentral's name for it is "partial 16S ribosomal RNA". It matches the Rfam family "Bacterial small subunit ribosomal RNA", at positions 28 to 507 of the family's 1533-position model. The record is from RNAcentral.
GAUGAACGCUGGCGGCGUGCCUAAUACAUGCAAGUCGAGCGAACAGACGAGGAGCUUGCUCCUCUGACGUUAGCGGCGGACGGGUGAGUAACACGUGGAUAACCUACCUAUAAGACUGGGAUAACUUCGGGAAACCGGAGCUAAUACCGGAUAAUAUAUUGAACCGCAUGGUUCAAUAGUGAAAGACGGUUUUGCUGUCACUUAUAGAUGGAUCCGCGCCGCAUUAGCGAGUUGGUAAGGUAACGGCUUACCAAGGCAACGAUGCGUAGCCGACCUGAGAGGGUGAUCGGCCACACUGGAACUGAGACACGGUCCAGACUCCUACGGGAGGCAGCAGUAGGGAAUCUUCCGCAAUGGGCGAAAGCCUGACGGAGCGACGCCGCGUGAGUGAUGAAGGUCUUCGGAUCGUAAAACUCUGUUAUUAGGGAAGAACAAAUGUGUAAGUAACUAUGCACGUCUUGACGGUACCUAAUCAGAAAGCCACGGCUAACUACGUG